Myotis brandtii (Brandt's bat) is the source of this 1932-nucleotide long non-coding RNA. RefSeq lists it as uncharacterized. The transcript is spliced from 3 exons. Lineage: Eukaryota; Metazoa; Chordata; Mammalia; Chiroptera; Vespertilionidae. The record is from RefSeq and is a predicted model, not a curated record.
CUCUCCUUUCCUCUCUGAAAUCGAUAAAAAUAUAUAUUAAAAAAAAAACGUAUAAAAUGCCUGGGAGAGCGGCACCGGACGGAUAUCCGUGGAAUUCGUCUCAUCGCCACACGGACUGGCUCUCCCUGCUGAUGGCGCAGAAGGUGGGGGGCUUCCCGAAAACCCUGUCUCCUCUGGUCGCUCUCAUACCGUCACCCACAGCCUCGAAGGAUGCUGGCGGCAUUCACAGCGCCCAGCAGGGUUAAAGCCGUCACACACAGUUUCAGGCCGUAGCCCCCACAUCAGGAGACGACGGUGCCUGCUGAUUACAAAGCGAGAACGCCGCUUCUGUGAGCAGAAAUGACGCAGGCUUCGCUCCCAGGGUCCCUGGUUGGAGCCCCCGGGAAUGAUUUCUCCUGGACAGCGACACAGACACAGCUUUGAUGCCCAGGCAGGUCCUGGUGCCAUUGCAUAAAGCAGGUCUCCAUGAAGCAGGUCUCCAUGAAGCAGGUCUCCAUGAAGCAGGUCCCCAUGAAGCAUGAAGCAUGAAGCAGGUCCCCAUGAAGCAGGUCUCCAUGAGGCAGGUCUCCAUGAAGCAUGAAGCAGGUCUCUGUGAAGAAGGUCUCCAUGAAGCAGGUCCCCAUGAAGCAUGAAGCAGGUCUCCAUGAAACAGGUCUCAAUGAAGCAGGUCCCCAUGAAGCAGGUCUCCAUGAAGCAUGAAGCAUGUUUCUGUGAAGAAGGUCUCCAUGAAGCAGGUCCCCAUGAAGCAGGUCCCCAUGAAACAGGUCUCCAUGAAGCAUGAAGCAGGGCUCCGUAAAGCAGGUCUCCGUGAAGCUCUGCGUGCUUCCCCAACGUGCCAUUUCCGUGUUCCUGGAUCAGAUGCCUGUUCUGUUACUACGCGGGGCUCCCUCAGCCACUCAGGGGCCCCCACGAUGCCAGGUACGGUGCUGAGCAUUGGUGCCAGGAUCUCUCUCCAUGGCACCUGACAUGGCUGCCCAUUUUAUGGAUGAGUACAGCAAGGCUCAGAUACAUGCGCUCCCCCAUGGCCCUUGGUGUCUGGCAGCGCUCAGAGGGGUGCCUCCAGGUCAAGGGAACCUGCAAGAAUUCCCGGGACCCCAGUAGACACGGCCACGUUGGCUCUUGUGACGAGGACUGGCUGUUCCCGUGAGUUUGCAGCAGCGAUUCCUCUGCAUUCCGGGUUCCUCUGCUGUUUCCAGGCCUCGCUCCCCUGAACGUGAGCUCCCCACGCAGUGGCCCGGCGGGCUGAGACUUUACUCUGUUACUCAUGCUGGACCAGCACCGUAGCUGCCACAUGCUAGACAUUCAAUAAACAUUGUUGAAACACGGAACCUUAUCCAGAGCCAGGGCUGGAUGUGGCAGCAGCACACAAGCAGUGGUCGCCAUGGGGCCUUGGCGUAUGUCCUUUCUCUGCUCUGUGACCUUGGACACACCAUCUCACCCCUGUGGACUUCGUCCCCCGAGCCUGUCAAUCAAACCAGCCUGUCAAUCAAACCAGCUCUGCUUUGCAGGGCUGGGAGGAUGCUCAUGGGCUCUUACGGGACUUUUGAAAUGUGAGAGCUGCGAGAUAGACUUGAACAACGCAAGGAAAGGUAGCCGGUCCUCGAAUUGGCGGUAGAAACGAUUUCUAGGAAAUAUGCUGCAAUUUGUUUUCUCUCUUAGAAAUUUAAAAACACCUUCCAAACCAACUCUUGGACGCAGACGUCAAAACUGACAUCGUAAACUACUUAUAAGUUCAUGGCACCGCGUACCAGAACCUAGGGGCUGGGUCCAAAUGAGUAGAGAGCCAUCUGUAGCCACAAUGGGCUUAUGAAAACAUAAGAUGGAAAAUGCACUUUCUGAACAUUCAACUGAAGAAGCUGAAAACAAACGCCACCGCCAAUACCAACAUUCACAUGCGUGAGUGCACACAUGCAUGCACACACACACACACAC